This 378-nucleotide unclassified non-coding RNA is filed under the name plant metagenome. RNAcentral's name for it is "partial contains 5.8S ribosomal RNA, internal transcribed spacer 2, and large subunit ribosomal RNA". The stretch from base 1 to 105 matches the Rfam family "5.8S ribosomal RNA", at positions 50 to 154 of the family's 154-position model. The record is from RNAcentral.
GAAAUGCGAUAAGUAAUGUGAAUUGCAGAAUUCAGUGAAUCAUCGAAUCUUUGAACGCACCUGGCGCUCCUUGGUAUUCCUUGGAGCAUGCCUGUUUGAGUAUCAUGAAAUCUUCAAAGUAAAUCUUUUGUUAACUCAAUUGGUUUCUACUUUGGUAUUGGAGGUCUUUGCAGCUUCACACCUGCUCCUCUUUGUUCAUUAGCUGGAUCUCAGUGUUAUGCUUGGUUCCACUCGGCGUGAUAAGUUAUCUAUCGCUGAGGACACUGUAAAAGGUGGCCAAGGUAAAUGCAGAUGAACCGCUUCUAAUAGUCCAUUGACUUGGACAAUACUUUUAUGAUCUGAUCUCAAAUCAGGUAGGACUACCCACUGAACUUAAGC